This 497-nucleotide ribosomal RNA is filed under the name uncultured bacterium. RNAcentral describes it as "partial 16S ribosomal RNA". It matches the Rfam family "Bacterial small subunit ribosomal RNA", at positions 28 to 507 of the family's 1533-position model. The record is from RNAcentral.
GAUGAACGCUGGCGGCGUGCCUAAUACAUGCAAGUCGAGUGAACAGACGAGGAGCUUGCUCCUCUGACGUUAGCGGCGGACGGGUGAGUAACACGUGGAUAACCUACCUAUAAGACUGGGAUAACUUCGGGAAACCGGAGCUAAUACCGGAUAAUAUAUUGAACCGCAUGGUUCAAUAGUGAAAGACGGUUUUGCUGUCACUUAUAGAUGGAUCCGCGCCGCAUUAGCUAGUUGGUAAGGUAACGGCUUACCAAGGCAACGAUGCGUAGCCGACCUGAGAGGGUGAUCGGCCACACUGGAACUGAGACACGGUCCAGACUCCUACGGGAGGCAGCAGUAGGGAAUCUUCCGCAAUGGGCGAAAGCUUGACGGAGCAACGCCGCGUGAGUGAUGAAGGUCUUCGGAUCGUAAAACUCUGUUAUUAGGGGAGAACAAAUGUGUAAGUAACUAUGCACGUCUUGACGGUACCUAAUCAGAAAGCCACGGCUAACUACGUG